CCUACGGGUGGCAGCAGUGGGGGAUCUUGCGCAAUGGGCGCAAGCCUGAUGCAGCGACGCCGCGUGGGUGAAGAAGGGCCUCGGCUCGUAAAGCCCUGUCAGCAGGGAAGAAGUCGUUGGUUGUGAAAGAUGACGCAAGGGGUAAAUACCUACGAAAAGCCGCGGGAAUACGUAGGGGGCAAGCGUUGUCCGGAUUGACUGGGAGUAAAGGUUGCGCAGACGGGGAUGUAAGUCAGGCGUGAAAGCCCGGGGCUUAACCUGGGGACUGCAUUUCGAACUGGGUGGCUGGAGGGCAGGAGAGGAAGGUGGAAUUCCUGGUGUAGCGGUGAAAUGCGUAGAUAUCAGGAGGAACACCGGUGGCGAAGGCGGCCUGCUGGACUGAAACUGACGUUGAGGCGCGAAAGCGUGGGGAGCAAACAGGAUUAGAUACCCGUGUAGUC
Molecule: ribosomal RNA, 440 nt
Filed under: uncultured bacterium
Lineage: Bacteria
Description: partial 16S ribosomal RNA
Rfam family: Bacterial small subunit ribosomal RNA
Source: RNAcentral